GAUGAACGCUGGCGGCGUGCCUAAUACAUGCAAGUCGAGCGAACAGACCAGGACCUUGCUCCUCUGACGUUAGCGCCCGACGGGUGCGUAACACGUGGUUAACCUACCUAUCCGACUGGGAUACCUUCGGCAAACCGUAUCUUCUGCCCGAUAAUUUAUUGAACCUCAUUGUUCAAUCGUGAAAGUCGCUUUUUCUUUCACUUAUAGCUUGAUACGGCCCUCAUCAGUUAGUUGGCAAGGUAACGGCUUACCAACGCAACGAUGGUUACACGACCUGAAAGGGUGAUUGGCCACACGGGAACAGAGACAGGUUCCAGACUCCUGCGGGAGGAAGCGGUAGGGAAUCUUCCGCAAUGGGCGAGAGCCUGACAGAGCAACGCCGCGUAAGUGAUGAAGGUCUUCGGAUCGUAAAACUCUGUUAUUAGGGAAGAACAAAUGUGUAAGUAACUAUGCACGUAUUGACGGUACCUAAUCAGAAAGCCACGGCUAACUACGUG
RNAcentral lists this ribosomal RNA (497 nucleotides) under uncultured bacterium. RNAcentral describes it as "partial 16S ribosomal RNA". It matches the Rfam family "Bacterial small subunit ribosomal RNA", at positions 28 to 507 of the family's 1533-position model. The record is from RNAcentral.